RNAcentral lists this ribosomal RNA (263 nucleotides) under uncultured archaeon. RNAcentral's name for it is "partial 16S ribosomal RNA". It matches the Rfam family "Archaeal small subunit ribosomal RNA", at positions 718 to 982 of the family's 1478-position model. The record is from RNAcentral.
AGUCACUGACAUUAGAUACCCCUGUAGUCCCAGCCGUAAACUAUGCUCGCUAGGUGUCAGGCAUGGCGCGACCGUGUCUGGUGCCGCAGGGAAGCCGUGAAGCGAGCCACCUGGGAAGUACGGCCGCAAGGCUGAAACUUAAAGGAAUUGCGGGGAGCACCACAACGGGUGGAGCCUGCGGUUUAAUUGGACUCAACGCCGGGAAGCUCACCGGAUAAGACAGCGGAAUGAUUGCCGGGCUGAAGACUCUGCAUGACUAGCUG